RNAcentral lists this ribosomal RNA (844 nucleotides) under uncultured bacterium. Its description in RNAcentral is "bacterial SSU rRNA". It matches the Rfam family "Bacterial small subunit ribosomal RNA", at positions 9 to 825 of the family's 1533-position model. The record is from RNAcentral.
GAGUUUGAUCCUGGCUCAGAACAAACGCUGGCGGCGUGCCUAACACAUGCAAGUCGUACGAGAAAGGGUCCUUCGGGAUCUGAGUAAAGUGGCGCACGGGUGAGUAACGCGUGGAUAAUCUGCCCUUCAGUUGGGAACAACUCAUCGAAAGGUGGGCUAAUACCGAAUAACACUGCGAGACUUUGGUCGAGCAGUCAAAGAGAGCCUCUGCUUGCAAGCCCUCGCUGAAGGAUGAGUCCGCGUACCAUUAGCUAGUUGGCAGGGUAAUGGCCUACCAAGGCGACGAUGGUUAGCUGGUCUGAGAGGAUGAUCAGCCACACUGGAACUGAGAUACGGUCCAGACUCCUACGGGAGGCAGCAGUGAGGAAUCUUGCGCAAUGGGGGAAACCCUGACGCAGCAACGCCGCGUGAGUGAGGAAGGCCUUCGGGUCGUAAAGCUCUGUCAGUUGGGAAGAAAUGCCUGAGGGUUAAUACCCUUCAGGCUUGACGGUACCAACAGAGGAAGCACCGGCUAACUCCGUGCCAGCAGCCGCGGUAAUACGGGGGGUGCAAGCGUUGUUCGGAAUUAUUGGGCGUAAAGAGCGUGUAGGCGGCCUGAUGUGUCAGAUGUGAAAGCCCUGGGCUUAACCCAGGAAGUGCAUUUGAAACUGUCAGGCUUGAGUAGGGGAGAGGGAAGUGGAAUUCCUGGUGUAGAGGUGAAAUUCGUAGAUAUCAGGAGGAACACCGGGUGGCGAAAGGCGACUUCCUGGCCCUAUACUGACGCUGAAACGCGAGAGCGUGGGGUAGCAAACAGGGAUUAGAUACCCCUGGUAGUCACGCCGUAAACGAUGUUCACUAGCUGUUG